This 495-nucleotide ribosomal RNA is filed under the name uncultured bacterium. RNAcentral's name for it is "partial 16S ribosomal RNA". It matches the Rfam family "Bacterial small subunit ribosomal RNA", at positions 28 to 507 of the family's 1533-position model. The record is from RNAcentral.
GACGAACGCUGGCGGCGUGCCUAAUACAUGCAAGUAGAACGCUGAAGGAGGAGCUUGCUUCUCUGGAUGAGUUGCGAACGGGUGAGUAACGCGUAGGUAACCUGCCUGGUAGCGGGGGAUAACUAUUGGAAACGAUAGCUAAUACCGCAUAAGAGUAGAUGUCGCAUGACAUUUGCUUAAAAGGUGCAAUUGCAUCACUACCAGAUGGACCUGCGUUGUAUUAGCUAGUUGGUGAGGUAACGGCUCACCAAGGCAACGAUACAUAGCCGACCUGAGAGGGUGAUCGGCCACACUGGGACUGAGACACGGCCCAGACUCCUACGGGAGGCAGCAGUAGGGAAUCUUCGGCAAUGGACGGAAGUCUGACCGAGCAACGCCGCGUGAGUGAAGAAGGGUUUCGGAUCGUAAAGCUCUGUUGUAAGAGAAGAACGAGUGUGAGAGUGGAAAGUUCACACUGUGACGGUAGCUGACCAGAAAGGGACGGCUAACUACGUG